This 250-nucleotide ribosomal RNA is filed under the name uncultured bacterium. RNAcentral describes it as "partial 16S ribosomal RNA". It matches the Rfam family "Bacterial small subunit ribosomal RNA", at positions 524 to 773 of the family's 1533-position model. The record is from RNAcentral.
UACGUAGGUGGCAAGCGUUGUCCGGAAUUAUUGGGCGUAAAGCGCGCGCAGGCGGCCUUUUAAGUCUGAUGUGAAAUCUUGCGGCUCAACCGCAAGCGGUCAUUGGAAACUGGGAGGCUUGAGUACAGAAGAGGAGAGUGGAAUUCCACGUGUAGCGGUGAAAUGCGUAGAUAUGUGGAGGAACACCAGUGGCGAAGGCGACUCUCUGGUCUGUAACUGACGCUGAGGCGCGAAAGCGUGGGGAGCAAAC